Molecule: ribosomal RNA, 252 nt
Filed under: uncultured bacterium
Lineage: Bacteria
Description: partial 16S ribosomal RNA
Rfam family: Bacterial small subunit ribosomal RNA
Source: RNAcentral
UACGGAGGGCGCGAGCGUUAAUCGGAAUUACUGGGCGUAAAGCGCGCCUAGGCUGUUGUGUAAGUUGGGGGUGAAAUCCACGGCUCAACCGUGGAACAGCCCUUGAUACUGCGCGACUUGAAUCCGGGAGAGGGUGGCGGAAUUCCAGGUGUAGGAGUGAAAUCCGUAGAUAUCUGGAGGAACAUCAGUGGCGAAGGCGGCCACCUGGACCGGUAUUGACGUUGAGGCUCGAGAGCGUGGGGAGCAAACAGG